CAGGGCUCAUAUCACAGUAUGCUGUCACUCAAUGAAGAGACAACAAAAGAAAACAGAUUAAAGUCAAGAAACUUGGGGAAAUGACAUCAAACUAAGAGAGUAUUCUCUAAGCUGGCUAUACUUUGAGUGUCAACCUGGAACAUACCCGUGGAGAGCAAAACUAAGAAACAGCAACAGGUAAAUGAUGGAAAAGAUGCCUGCAGCCUGAGACUGAAGUCCCCUACAGAGAUCCACUACUGAGAUGAGUUACCUUCACCUCCUCCUUCAUUUAUGUACAACGUAUGUGCUGAGUUUCCAGUACGCUGACUCAUCUCCAUUAGGGCACAUGGCCCAUCCCAUACCAGCUUUCCUGUACUUGUGUUUGUGAUUUUUCAUAUCUGUCACCCCAGUCAGGUCAAUCCCAAAGUCAUAGCAAUGAGUUUGCUUCUCAUAAACAUUCUGAUCAUCUUACCCAUUCUCAGUUUUAAGCAAUCCUUUUGUUUCUUCACAUUAUUACAAUUUCUUCUUACAUUAAUUUUAUUGUUCAUUGUCUGGUAUAAGCUAUAGAUAUUGCAGUGAAACCAUCAAUAGUAAUAAUAAGGAAAUCAAAUAUUUUUAGCCAAAAUCUAAAGUUCUAGCUAGAUGGUUGAGCAGUUGAGAGUGAUGGCUGCUCUGGAGGACCAGAAUUCGUUUCCCAAGUAUCCACACAUUGGCUGCUUCACAACCAUCCUGUCCUGAUAAGUUUUGUGCCAUCUUGACACAAGGUGGAGUUAUCUUGGAGGAGAUUAUUAUCUGAGGUAAUGCCACCAUCAGAUUGCCAGCAGGCAUGCCUGCUGAGCAUUUUCUUGAUUGAUGAUGGAUGUGGAAGGGCCUAACCUAUCACACAGACCUGUGUUUUUACUUAUUUCACUCAAAUUCCCUUAGACUGUUGUAUUUAGCUCAGAGCCACAUAAAUUGUUUUUGUUUUGAGUCAGAAAUAACAACUGUACAGAUAUCUGGGGCUGUCACAAUAAUUUAGCAGGUAAAAGCCCUUGCCACACAUUUCUAACAACCUGUGUUUAGACCUCAGAACCCAAGGUGGAAGAAGAGAAUUGACUCCUGAAAGUUGUUCUUUGACCGCCAUCUAUAUCCUUUUGCAUGGAUACACACCUGCAUGCAUGCACACACUCAGAAUAAUCAUUAUAUGGGAAUUUGAAAAAGGAGAAAGUUGAACA
This 1193-nucleotide long non-coding RNA is filed under the name Cricetulus griseus (Chinese hamster). RNAcentral describes it as "lncRNA (ENSCGRG00015041661.1)". The record is from RNAcentral. Lineage: Eukaryota; Metazoa; Chordata; Mammalia; Rodentia; Cricetidae.